RNAcentral lists this transfer RNA (29 nucleotides) under Myodes glareolus (Bank vole). RNAcentral's name for it is "partial tRNA-Asn". Lineage: Eukaryota; Metazoa; Chordata; Mammalia; Rodentia; Cricetidae. The record is from RNAcentral.
UAGAUUGAAGCCAGUUUAGGGUGUUUAGC